RNAcentral lists this ribosomal RNA (239 nucleotides) under uncultured Lactobacillus sp. Its description in RNAcentral is "partial 16S ribosomal RNA". It matches the Rfam family "Bacterial small subunit ribosomal RNA", at positions 122 to 354 of the family's 1533-position model. The record is from RNAcentral. Lineage: Bacteria; Bacillati; Bacillota; Bacilli; Lactobacillales; Lactobacillaceae.
UAACCUGCCCAAGAGAUCGGGAUAACACCUGGAAACAGAUGCUAAUACCGGAUAACAACAGAUGAUGCCUAUCAACUGUUUAAAAGAUGGUUCUGCUAUCACUCUUGGAUGGACCUGCGGUGCAUUAGCUAGUUGGUAGGGUAACGGCCUACCAAGGCGAUGAUGCAUAGCCGAGUUGAGAGACUGAUCGGCCACAUUGGGACUGAGACNCGGCCCAAACUCCUACGGGAGGCAGCAGG